GAUGUGCUAAUAACACAGACCCUCAUUGUGUAGCACUAAAAAAUACAAAAAUUCUUCAAGCACUAAACCUAGAGGUGAAACAAAUGCUGCAUUCUCCUAUAUACCAAAGAAGGAGGCUGUUCCAUCGGAGGCUUACUGCUUUGCAGCAUUUUUGGUCUGCUGUCUGAAGGACAUACUCCUGUCCUACUGUGGCUUAAACUUGGGUCCUAAGUUGUUGCUGACCAAUGUUCUUCGUAUCUGCCUGUGCUGAACAAAGAUGGCAUCAAUCCCCAGCCCCAUCCACCAUGGUUUAUGAUUUCUCCAUGCUAGAGGCUGAUGCAAUUCCCAUGGAAGUCUAUGGAAGGUUAUCAAGACUUACAGGAAUAAUUUAACACAGCUAAACAUCUUAUUUGUCUUCAAAGAUAUGUAAGUAAUCAAUCACGUUUGAGUUUUGUUAUAUGUUUUAUACUAGUAAGUGUAUAUUAAUAAGAAUUACAUAAAUAUAGAUGAGGAUUUUUUUGUUUUUAA
Molecule: long non-coding RNA, 507 nt
Filed under: Anser cygnoides (Swan goose)
Lineage: Eukaryota; Metazoa; Chordata; Aves; Anseriformes; Anatidae
Description: lncRNA (ENSACDG00005002468.1)
Source: RNAcentral